This 503-nucleotide ribosomal RNA is filed under the name uncultured bacterium. RNAcentral's name for it is "partial 16S ribosomal RNA". It matches the Rfam family "Bacterial small subunit ribosomal RNA", at positions 30 to 523 of the family's 1533-position model. The record is from RNAcentral.
AUUGAACGCUGGCGGCAGGCUUAACACAUGCAAGUCGAGCGGGGUGAUGGUGCUUGCACUAUCACUUAGCGGCGGACGGGUGAGUAAUGCUUAGGAAUCUGCCUAUUAGUGGGGGACAACAUCUCGAAAGGGAUGCUAAUACCGCAUACGUCCUACGGGAGAAAGCAGGGGAUCACUUGUGACCUUGCGCUAAUAGAUGAGCCUAAGUCGGAUUAGCUAGUUGGUGGGGUAAAGGCCUACCAAGGCGACGAUCUGUAGCGGGUCUGAGAGGAUUAUCCGCCACACUGGGACUGAGACACGGCCCAGACUCAUACGGGAGGCAGCAGUGGGGAAUAUUGGACAAUGGGGGGAACCCUGAUCCAGCCAUGCCGCGUGUGUGAAGAAGGCCUUAUGGUUGUAAAGCACUUUAAGCGAGGAGGAGGCUCUUUUGGUUAAUACCCAAGAUGAGUGGACGUUACUCGCAGAAUAAGCACCGGCUAACUCUGUGCCAGCCGCCGCAGUAA